This 454-nucleotide ribosomal RNA is filed under the name uncultured bacterium. RNAcentral's name for it is "bacterial SSU rRNA". It matches the Rfam family "Bacterial small subunit ribosomal RNA", at positions 29 to 526 of the family's 1533-position model. The record is from RNAcentral.
AGCGAACGCUGGCGGCAGGCUUAACACAUGCAAGUCGAACGCUCGUAGCAAUACGGGAGUGGCAGUCGGGUGAGGAACACGUGGGAAUAUGCCCUUUGGUUCGGAAUAACUCAGGGAAACUUGAGCUAAUACCGGAUAAGCCCUAACGGGGAAAGAUUUAUCGCCGAAGGAUUAGCCCGCGUCUGAUUAGCUUGUUGGUGAGGUAACGGCUCACCAAGGCGACGAUCAGUAGCUGGUCUGAGAGGAUGAUCAGCCACACUGGGACUGAGACACGGCCUAGACUCCUACGGGAGGCAGCAGUGGGGAAUAUUGGACAAUGGGCGCAAGCCUGAUCCAGCCAUGCCGCGUGAGUGAUGAAGGCCUUAGGGUUGUAAAGCUCUUUUGUCCGGGAAGAUAAUGACUGUACCGGAAGAAUAAGCCCCGGCUAACUUCGUGCCAGCCGCCGCGGUAAGAC